RNAcentral lists this ribosomal RNA (488 nucleotides) under uncultured bacterium. RNAcentral's name for it is "bacterial SSU rRNA". It matches the Rfam family "Bacterial small subunit ribosomal RNA", at positions 28 to 505 of the family's 1533-position model. The record is from RNAcentral.
GAUGAACGCUAGCGAUAGGCCUAACACAUGCAAGUCGAGGGGCAUCACAUGAAGUAGCAAUACGGAUGGUGGCGACCGGCGCACGGGUGAGUAACACGUAUGCAACCUGCCUUCAACAAGGGGAUAACCCGUUGAAAGACGGACUAAUACCCUAUAACACAGGGGUCCCGCAUGGGGAUAUUUGUUAAAGGACAACCGGUUGAAGAUGGGCAUGCGUUCCAUUAGCUAGUUGGCGGGGUAAGGGCCCACCAAGGCAACGAUGGAUAGGGGAACUGAGAGGUUUAUCCCCCACACUGGUACUGAGACACGGACCAGACUCCUACGGGAGGCAGCAGUGAGGAAUAUUGGUCAAUGGACGCAAGUCUGAACCAGCCACGUCGCGUGAAGGAAGACGGCCCUACGGGUUGUAAACUUCUUUUAUACGGGAAUAAAGUGCCCCACGCGUGGGGUUUUGCAUGUACCGUAUGAAUAAGGAUCGGCUAACUCCG